AGGACGAAAUCUGUUCACCAUUUUCUGAUUUAUAAGGGAAACAGAUUGACAGAGGCAGCUCUAGACAAUGAUCCAGGCUAACCAAUCAAGAUGGCAGCCUCCAAGUUGGAGGAAACUGACGACGAAGGAAACGAAACUUUGGGAUUUGUUAUCGAUGAAGUCAUCAAUAACAUAGGAUCGUCCUGGGAUCCAACGAACUCUGUUGACUGGGCUAAGGAAAAGGCUACGUCACAAUGUUUAAUGAGAAUAAAAAGAGACAUCAUGUCGAUAUAUAAUGAACCACCACCAUGUAUGUGUAUAGUACCACACAAAGAGGAUAUGACUGUGAUCCAUGCAUUGAUAACAGGACCUUUUGAUACUCCAUAUGAAGGAGGAUUUUUCUACUUCAUCAUCCGAUGUCCCCCUGAUUAUCCAAUCAGACCCCCGCGAGUGAAACUCAUGACAACGGGAGAUAACCAAGUCCGAUUUAAUCCUAACCUUUAUAAAAAUGGAAAAGUCUGUUUAAGCAUACUUGGGACUUGGUCAGGCCCCGCGUGGAGCCCAGCACAAAGUCUGUCCAGUGUUCUGAUCUCAAUCCAGUCCUUAAUGAACGAAAAACCAUACCACAAUGAACCUGGAUUUGAAAGGGAGAGAAUGGCUGGGGACAUGAAGCGAUAUAAUGAGAUUAUACAACAUGAAACACUCCGAGUAGCUGUCUGUGAUAUGUUAGAGGGAAGGUGUACUUGUCCAGACACCUUGAAAGAGGUGAUGGAAACAUCCUUUUUUGAGUAUUAUGACUAUUACAAAUCAAUAUGUUCCUCAAAAAAGAACCUACAAGGGCAAACUAUGCAGGAUCCAUUUGGCGAGAAAAGAGGAUGUUUUAACUACGAAUCCAUUGAAAAGCGACUUGAUGAGAUCAAGAAACGAUUAGACGAGAAACAGGUUCUGUCAAGUGACUCCUCAGAAGAAUCUGACAUGGAAACAAAUGAGAAAACCAGUGAUUCUCUAGAGGAUGAGGGGGGUGAGAGGUCAGAGGUCAAAGGGGCCAAGGACAUUGGAGAUGUCAAGGUCAACAGCUGAUACCCUGUCUUAUGAUAAACUUAACAUGAACAAGUAUUAUUCCUUCAUUGGACCUAAAUACUGCUCCUUGCACUGAAUAUGGUUGACAUACUCAUGUCAGUUUACAGAAUUCUAGAAUGGACACUCUAUUGCAAGUUAUGAGAAUUAUAUUUUUUAAAUAGUUUACAUUUUUGCAAUAUUGACUUUGAAGUGUAAAAGAGAGUGUUUAAUGGUCAAAUAUGUAUUGUUUUUUUUUUCUUUUGGAUCAUUUGCCAAUGCAAGUGUACAUUUGGAAAAAGUAUCUUGUUGAGAUUUUUUUGCGAUUGUUUUUACUUUUAUGAGACGAAAGAAUGUUGAUUUGGACCACUUUAUGCAGUCUUUCAGUUUCUUUUGUUGGUAAAUGUUAUAAUGAAAUGUAGUUACAUUUACAGUAUACAUUUAUAAUUUCCAUUUUUUUUGUAUAUGAAUAAUCUCGAGCACUGCAUGGUAGGCUUUGUUUUAAUGCAUGUAUUAUGCUUCAAGCAUCAUUUAAAAUUUAAAUCCAUUUAUUUUCUUUUAUUGAAUGCAAUCUAAUGUAGAACAAAUCAAUUUUAUGAAUAAUAUUGAAACUGUGCUGUGAUCAUUGAAUCUUUGUUGAAAUAGUGCUUUCUUCCCUUAGAUAUGUUCUCAAAGUUUCAUACAUACAUAUAUUGUUUUAUUUAGUACAGAUAUAUUGUACAGAACAUAUGUACGUGUAUACUUAUUACUAAAAAGAUGUUUGUUGAGCUAACAGGGUAUAUAAUUUCCUCUUACAUGCACUGGACCAAAUGUUAUAAACAUAUUCUCAUUCAGAAAUUUGUUAAUGCCAACGAAAAAUAUCACAUCUUAUAAUAAUAGUAACUGUUAUAUCUUAUUUUCCCCUGUGAUUGAUCAUUGUGUGCAUUUUUUAAUUUGUCCCAUCUACAUGUGUCCCUUGAUGCUUGAGCUGCAAUGGUUUUAACUUCCUUAACUUAAUCAUGUAUGAAAUUCAUGAAGGGUUAGAUUUUCAAUAUUUUCAUUAAGAAUUUGUACUCAGCUUGAGCCCUUGACUACUGUUUUAAAGGAAAAUCAAGAAUCAUGCUAUAUCCUCCUCAUUUUGCAACUGAAGCUUUUCCCUUUAUAUUCUAAAAUGUUACAAUACUUUUGGAAAUGGUAAAAAAGGAGACCUAAUCUGCUGUC
This is an RNA transcript of Saccostrea cuccullata (small rock oyster), 2235 nucleotides long. It is a transcript of the gene named ubiquitin-conjugating enzyme E2 Z-like, with no coding region annotated. The transcript is spliced from 9 exons. The record is from RefSeq and is a predicted model, not a curated record. NCBI's taxonomy places the organism in Eukaryota, Metazoa, Mollusca, Bivalvia, Ostreida, Ostreidae.